Non-coding RNA from Ameiurus melas (black bullhead), 72 nucleotides. Lineage: Eukaryota; Metazoa; Chordata; Actinopteri; Siluriformes; Ictaluridae. The record is from the annotation of a GenBank genome assembly.
GCAGUGGUGGCUCAGUGGUUAUAACGUUGGACCUCUGACCAGAAGGGUAUGAGUUCAAAUCCCAGCACUGCA